AUGGACUUUCUGGUGGUAUGUCUGGUAAUUUGCUCCCUUUCUUCUGGUCCUUGGUCCUUCACCGGCCAAGUCCCUUGUGGGAGAUUGGAACCGCAGUUAGAAGACCUCCACACUCGCUUCGGAACUAAGUUCCGUCUCAGUCACACUCUUACACACAGGCAACCGAAUCCCACCCAACCGAAUGGUAUACUCCUUAAACACUUACGACUCUGUCAUCUUCGUUCGGAUCUUCGCACGCAGAAUUAUGGACAAAAUACAGUGCUGCAGCCGGCAAGGGAGCUCAUAAAAAAAUCAAAAUCUUUGUUUACCUUUAUUCAGGUUCAAGAUGGCAUUAGUCAUGACCUUACUCGAACAGGAGCCACCAAAUGGUGGGGCGCCUCUCCCAGAUCAAAUCAGAAUUCAGGAACCAAAGCCAUCCCGGACGAGCCCCCAAUUGUUAUAAAUGGCUCAGUCUUCAAAAUAGGACUAUAAUCAAAGUUUACAGUUUAUUAAAGGAAUAGAGGUAAGCAAACAGAACUGGGUGCACCGGGAGUCUCUGCUCCACCAAGACGCACACCAGUUACAUCAAGCAGCUGAUUUUUAUGCUCCUAGGCUAAUACAUAUUCAUUACUACUUCUAAAAAAAACAGGGUUAUUAUAAUUAGUUUCUGGAAUCCAAACCCUCCUACAGGAGCAUGCGUAUCAGUCUCUGGUGGUGUCUCUGGGGGUCUCUGGGGGCCUCUCGUGAUGAAAGCUCAUAGUCUUCCUCCCCCUUGUCCUUCUCCUUUGUCCAGGUUGACUGUAUGUCAGAGACUUGUGCAGCGUGCCCUGCAAGCUUUGUCUUUUAGUCGUUCUUCAGCUUUCCCCAUCUCCUUAAUCUCCUGGCCAGAUAUCAGAGACUUGCAUAAUGUCCCAUGCAAUAGUCAUAAUAUUUAGCAGUUAUUCUGAACUCCUCUCCCCCCCAGAUACUAGAGACUUCAAGGAAAAGCCUACAAAUACAUUUCCCUUCAAGCUCUCUAUUGACACGAAUUGCUAAAACAUUCCUUUGCAAGAUACAAGAACUAUAUACAUUAACCACUCUGUUUUUCUUAGACUUGUGGUUAUACAAGGGUAUGUAAGACAGAAGGUCACAUUCAUCAUACCAUGCGGCCCUAGCAUUGUUCCAUAUUGACACGAAUUAGAUGAGCACAUUUCACAGGCAAAAUAUCACCAGAAGGUAAAGGGAGGUGAUUCUUCCCCUCUCCUCAAUGUUGGCGAGGCCACACACAGGGUACUGUGUCCAGUUAUGGGUCCCCCAUAUGAGAGGACAUGUAUGAGUAUGGGAGUCUGAGUGGCACAUGGACAUAAUGGAAAGAGUCCACCAAGAGGAUGAAGGGACUGGAGCACCUCUCUUGUGAGGAGAGGCUGAGCGUACUGGCACUGUUCAACUUGGAGAGCAAGAGGCUCAGGGGGAAUCACAGAAUCACAGAAUGGUGUGGGUUGGAAGGAACCCUAAACAUCAUCCAGUUCUAACUCCCUGCCAUGGGCAGGUACACCUCCCACCAGACCAGGUUGCUCAAAGCCCCAUCCAGCCUGGCCUUGAAUACUUCCAGGGAUGGGGCAUCCACAGCUUCUCUGGGCAACCUGUGCCAGGGCCUCACCAUCCUCUGAGUUAAGAAUUUUUUCUUAUAUCUAACCUAAAUCUUCCUUCUUUUAGUUGAAAGCCAUUCCCUCUUGUUGAAUCACUACACUCCUUGACAAAGAGUCCCUCCCCAGCUUUCCCGUAAGCCCCUUUUAGUUACUGGAAGACCACUGUAAGGUCUCCCUGGAGCCUUCUCUUCUCCAAGGGUGAACAACCUCAGCUCUCUCAGCCUUUUCUUUUAGGAGAGGUGCUCCAGCUCCUUGGUCAUCCUCAUGGCCCUCCUCUGGACUCAUUCUUCUACUUUUGUGUCCUUCCUGUGCUGAAGACCCCAGAGCUGAAUGCAGCACUCCAGGCGGGGGCUCAUGAGAGCAGAGCAGAAGGGGAGAACCAUCUUUCUUGACCUGCUGAUCAUGCUGGUUUUGACACAGUCCUGGAUAAGGUUGGCUUUCUUGGCAGCAAGCGCACAGCGCUGGCUCAUGUUGUGCUUCUCAUCAAUAAACAGGCCCAGGUCUUUCUCUUCA
This 2120-nucleotide long non-coding RNA is filed under the name Anas platyrhynchos platyrhynchos (common mallard). RNAcentral's name for it is "lncRNA (ENSAPLG00000024503.1)". The record is from RNAcentral. Lineage: Eukaryota; Metazoa; Chordata; Aves; Anseriformes; Anatidae.